CCUACGGGUGGCAGCAGUGGGGGAUAUUGCACAAUGGGGGAAACCCUGAUGCAGCGACGCCGCGUGAGUGAAGAAGUAUUUCGGUAUGUAAAGCUCUAUCAGCAGGGAAGAAAAUGACAGUACCUGACCAAGAAGCCCCGGCUAACUACGUGCCAGCAGCCGCGGGAAUAUGUAGGGGGCAAGCGUUAUCCGGAUUUACUGGGUGUAAAGGGAGCGUAGACGGUUAGGUAAGUCUGGAGUGAAAGCCGGGGGCCCAACCCCGGGACUGCCUUGGAAACUGGGUAACUGGAGUACAGGAGGGGUAGGCGGAAUGCGUGGUGUAGCGGUGAAAUGCGUAGAUAUCACGAAGAACACCGACGGCGAAGGCGGCCUGCGGGACUGAAACUGACGCUGAGGCUCGAAAGCGUGGGGAGCAAACAGGAUUAGAUACCCCAGUAGUC
RNAcentral lists this ribosomal RNA (440 nucleotides) under uncultured bacterium. RNAcentral's name for it is "partial 16S ribosomal RNA". It matches the Rfam family "Bacterial small subunit ribosomal RNA", at positions 338 to 795 of the family's 1533-position model. The record is from RNAcentral.